GCAGAUGGGACACACAAAUUCUUGGCCUCAUGGUCGCUAUCUUUGUAAAGCAGUUUCUGUAUUUGCUAAGGUAAUUUGUGACUCCUUUAAUAGAGGUUCGUGUUAAUGGCCGUUUUUCCAUAUGCAAGUAAAUGGGAUAAAUCAAGCAUGGGUCACACGGCAAGCUGAUCCCUUUACGGAGAUGGAGCUGCUAAUGACAGAUCGUAUGACAGUCCCUGAAGUCUUUCAACAGUGAAAAGUAUGUGCUUGUAAUUUAGUACUGGGAUCUGCCUCAAGUAUACGUGGUUGUUGGUAAAAAUUUCAGGUUGAUUUAAACAAAGUAUAAUGGUUUGUGAUAGCCUAGAGAUGUAUUUUUCAUGUUCAAAGAAUCCCAUUGAUGUGUUCUACAAUGUGUGCUAAAAGAAUUUAAGGACAGAUUUGUGUCCUUUACUUCCUGGAAAAUUGUGUGUCCUUUUCUAAUACUGAGUAUGGAGGAAGAUUCAAUAUUCAUCCGAGCUAUAAGUGUUCUAUUUUGUUUCCUGGAGAAAUGGUUCGAUGUCAGGCUAUCUUCUGCAACAGGUGCUGGAGCACAAGCCAAGUGAGAUCUGUUCUGGAGCAUUGUCAUUCUCAAACAGGUGCUGCGAUUCAUCUUCCUCUACAUCAAUGGGGAAGCGUGUACGCUCUAUACUAGAUCGUGCGCCAAGGUAGUCAACAAAAUCUGGAGGUUGGGGCUUCACCAUCCAGAAUGACCAGAGUGCGUUACAGACGGCAGGUGUAGGCAAUCUGGAACAUUGCUCUAGCUUUACGGCAGGCGCCUAUCGUCACUCAAACGGGAGGUCAAACUGUAC
Molecule: long non-coding RNA, 827 nt
Organism: Lolium rigidum
Lineage: Eukaryota; Viridiplantae; Streptophyta; Magnoliopsida; Poales; Poaceae
Exons: 7
Source: RefSeq, a predicted model, not a curated record